UACGAAGGGGGCUAGCGUUGUUCGGAAUUACUGGGCGUAAAGCGCGUGUAGGCGGGUCUUUAAGUCAGGGGUGAAAUGCCAAGGCUCAACCUUGGAACUGCCUUUGAUACUGGAGACCUUGAGUCCGGGAGAGGUGAGUGGAAUUGCGAGUAUAGAGGUGAAAUUCGUCGAUAUUCGCAAGAACACCAGUGGCGAAGGCGGCUCACUGGCCCGGAACUGACGCUGAGACGCGAAAGCGUGGGGAGCAAACAGG
This 253-nucleotide ribosomal RNA is filed under the name uncultured bacterium. RNAcentral's name for it is "partial 16S ribosomal RNA". It matches the Rfam family "Bacterial small subunit ribosomal RNA", at positions 524 to 776 of the family's 1533-position model. The record is from RNAcentral.